UACGUAGGGUGCAAGCGUUAAUCGGAAUUACUGGGCGUAAAGCGUGCGCAGGCGGUUUUGUAAGUCUGACGUGAAAUCCCCGGGCUCAACCUGGAAAUUGCGUUGGAGACUGCAAGGCUAGAAUCUGGCAGAGGGGGGUAGAAUUCCACGUGUAGCAGUGAAAUGCGUAGAGAUGUGGAGGAACACCGAUGGCGAAGGCAGCCCCCUGGGUCAAGAUUGACGCUCAUGCACGAAAGCGUGGGGAGCAAACAGG
This 253-nucleotide ribosomal RNA is filed under the name uncultured bacterium. RNAcentral describes it as "partial 16S ribosomal RNA". It matches the Rfam family "Bacterial small subunit ribosomal RNA", at positions 524 to 776 of the family's 1533-position model. The record is from RNAcentral.